ACACGUAACCAACACAGGGAAUUGUAGGGG
This 30-nucleotide non-coding RNA is filed under the name Mus musculus (house mouse). The record is from RNAcentral. Lineage: Eukaryota; Metazoa; Chordata; Mammalia; Rodentia; Muridae.